RNAcentral lists this non-coding RNA (28 nucleotides) under Homo sapiens (human). The record is from RNAcentral. Lineage: Eukaryota; Metazoa; Chordata; Mammalia; Primates; Hominidae.
UGAGGAUAUCCAGUACAUGCAGGUACCU